AGGGUUCGAUUCUGGCUCAGGAUGAACGCUGGCGGCGUGCUUAACACAUGCAAGUCGAACGGGAUCCAUCAGCUUGCUGGUGGUGAGAGUGGCGAACGGGUGAGUAAUGCGUGACCGACCUGCCCCAUGCUCCGGAAUAGCUCCUGGAAACGGGUGGUAAUGCCGGAUGUUCCAGUUGAUCGCAUGGUCUUCUGGGAAAGCUUUCGCGGCGUGGGAUGGGGUCGCGUCCUAUCAGCUUGACGGCGGGGUAACGGCCCACCGUGGCUUCGACGGGUAGCCGGCCUGAGAGGGCGACCGGCCACAUUGGGACUGAGAUACGGCCCAGACUCCUACGGGAGGCAGCAGUGGGGAAUAUUGCACAAUGGGCGCAAGCCUGAUGCAGCGACGCCGCGUGAGGGAUGGAGGCCUUCGGGUUGUAAACCUCUUUUGUCAGGGAGCAAGCGUGAGUGAGUGUACCUGUCGAAUAAGCGCCGGCUAACUACGUGCCAGCAGCCGCGGUAAUACGUAGGGCGCAAGCGUUAUCCGGAAUUAUUGGGCGUAAAGGGCUCGUAGGCGGUUCGUCGCGUCCGGUGUGAAAGUCCAUCGCUUAACGGUGGAUCCGCGCCGGGUACGGGCGGGCUUGAGUGCGGUAGGGGAGACUGGAAUUCCCGGUGUAACGGUGGAAUGUGUAGAUAUCGGGAAGAACACCAAUGGCGAAGGCAGGUCUCUGGGCCGUUACUGACGCUGAGGAGCGAAAGCGUGGGGAGCGAACAGGAUUAGAUACCCUGGUAGUCCACGCCGUAAACGGUGGAUGCUGGAUGUGGGGCACGUUCCACGUGUUCCGUGUCGGAGCCAACGCGUUAAGCAUCCCGCCUGGGGAGUACGGCCGCAAGGCUAAAACUCAAAGAAAUUGACGGGGGCCCGCACAAGCGGCGGAGCAUGCGGAUUAAUUCGAUGCAACGCGAAGAACCUUACCUGGGCUUGACAUGUUCCCGACG
This 977-nucleotide ribosomal RNA is filed under the name Bifidobacterium saguini DSM 23967. Its description in RNAcentral is "bacterial SSU rRNA". It matches the Rfam family "Bacterial small subunit ribosomal RNA", at positions 8 to 997 of the family's 1533-position model. Lineage: Bacteria; Bacillati; Actinomycetota; Actinomycetes; Bifidobacteriales; Bifidobacteriaceae. The record is from RNAcentral.